This is a long non-coding RNA of Panicum hallii, 626 nucleotides long. RefSeq lists it as uncharacterized. Lineage: Eukaryota; Viridiplantae; Streptophyta; Magnoliopsida; Poales; Poaceae. The transcript is spliced from 3 exons. The record is from RefSeq and is a predicted model, not a curated record.
UAAAAAACACUCACUUCCUCUCCCGUCCGCUCCCCUGGCAGUUCCAUCACUCCCCUGCCCGCGAGGCGCGAGCGCUUGUCCCCAACGGCUGGCGGCGGCGCUCUUCCCUUUGCCCCUUUCCCCCGACGCGCCCCAUCCCCAGCGGCCGGCCCUAGCCGGCCUGCCCGCCUGGCCGCCUCCCACCAAGGCACUGUCUAGGCGCCCAGCCAGCCACGGCCCAUGGCCGGACCGAACCUAGCUCCGCCCAGACGCCCCAGCGGCCAGCGCUGCAGCAUUUUUUGAUGAAAAAGCAUGCUUCCCGACUUCACAGUGCCUACUCCAAGCAUGGUGGCUUGGCAUCUUGCAGUUUCUUCAGAUAUCCUUCGGCCAAUACAGGAUUCCUCAAAGGAAGAGAUUCCUCUUCAAGAAAUGCAUCACCCACCCAAUGUGCCAUCAAAAAGGACUACCUUUUCAAACAUUUCACUGAUAGCAGCUAUUUUUGCACGAAGAUUCUUAAUUGACCUACCAGUGAUGCGAAUUCCAACUACAGCCUCGACAGCAUUAUUGAUUAUACUGCAUUUGUAACCUUAGUUACACCAUCUCUUCCAUGAACCAGAUCAGUGAAUAUACCAGGUCUUGGUUCAUAA